GGCCCUACGGGAGGCAGCAGUGGGGAAUAUUACACAAUGGGGGAAACCCUGAUGCAGCAACGCCGCGUGAAGGAAGACGGUUUUCGGAUUGUAAACUUCUUUUCUUAGUGAAGAAGCAAGUGACGGUAGCUAAGGAAUAAGCAUCGGCUAACUACGUGCCAGCAGCCGCGGUAAUACGUAGGAUGCGAGCGUUAUCCGGAAUUACUGGGUGUAAAGGGAGCGCAGGCGGGACUGCAAGGUGAAUGUGGAAUACCGCA
This 257-nucleotide ribosomal RNA is filed under the name uncultured bacterium. RNAcentral describes it as "partial 16S ribosomal RNA". It matches the Rfam family "Bacterial small subunit ribosomal RNA", at positions 334 to 606 of the family's 1533-position model. The record is from RNAcentral.